GAUGAACGCUGGCGGCGUGCCUAAUACAUGCAAGUCGAGCGAACGGACGAGAAGCUUGCUUCUCUGAUGUUAGCGGCGGACGGGUGAGUAACACGUGGAUAACCUACCUAUAAGACUGGGAUAACUUCGGGAAACCGGAGCUAAUACCGGAUAAUAUUUUGAACCGCAUGGUUCAAAAGUGAAAGACGGUCUUGCUGUCACUUAUAGAUGGAUCCGCGCUGCAUUAGCUAGUUGGUAAGGUAACGGCUUACCAAGGCAACGAUGCAUAGCCGACCUGAGAGGGUGAUCGGCCACACUGGAACUGAGACACGGUCCAGACUCCUACGGGAGGCAGCAGUAGGGAAUCUUACGCGAUGGGCGAAAGCCUGACGGAGCAACGCCGCGUGAGUGAUGAAGGUCUUAGGAUCGUAAAACUCUGUUAUUAGGGAAGAACAUAUGUGUAAGUAACUGUGCACAUCUUGACGGUACCUAAUCAGAAAGCCACGGCUAACUACGUG
This 497-nucleotide ribosomal RNA is filed under the name uncultured bacterium. RNAcentral describes it as "partial 16S ribosomal RNA". It matches the Rfam family "Bacterial small subunit ribosomal RNA", at positions 28 to 507 of the family's 1533-position model. The record is from RNAcentral.